Molecule: ribosomal RNA, 332 nt
Filed under: uncultured bacterium
Lineage: Bacteria
Description: bacterial SSU rRNA
Rfam family: Bacterial small subunit ribosomal RNA
Source: RNAcentral
GACGAACGCUGGCGGCGUGCUUAAUACAUGCAAGUCAACUUGACUUUAGAUAGCAAUAUCGAAAAGUAGGGUGGCGCACGGGUGCGUAACGCGUAGGUAAUCUGCCCUGAGGUCUGACAUAACCCGUCGAAAGGCGGCUAACAUCAGAUGAUAUAUAAUCACGACAUCGUGGAAAAUAUCAAAUCUUCGGAGCCUUGGGAUGAGCCUGCGUCUGAUUAGGUAGUUGGCGGAGUAAUAGCCCACCAAGCCUACGAUCAGUAGCUGGUCUGAGAGGAUGAUCAGCCACACUGGAACUGAGACACGGUCCAGACUCCUACGGGAGCAGCAGGUAA